GGUAACACGUAUCCAACCUGCCGUCUACUCUUGGACAGCCUUCUGAAAGGAAGAUUAAUACAAGAUGGCAUCAUGAGUCCGCAUGUUCACAUGAUUAAAGGUAUUCCGGUAGACGAUGGGGAUGCGUUCCAUUAGAUAGUAGGCGGGGUAACGGCCCACCUAGUCUUCGAUGGAUAGGGGUUCUGAGAGGAAGGUCCCCCACAUUGGACUGAGACACGGCCAA
This 223-nucleotide ribosomal RNA is filed under the name uncultured bacterium. RNAcentral's name for it is "partial 16S ribosomal RNA". It matches the Rfam family "Bacterial small subunit ribosomal RNA", at positions 109 to 334 of the family's 1533-position model. The record is from RNAcentral.